GCAUACGUCCGAGAGGAGAAAGUGGGGGACCCGCAAGGGCCUCACGCGAUUGGAUUGGCCGAUGGCCGAUUAGCUAGUUGGUGGGGUAAAGGCCUACCAAGGCGAUGAUCGGUAGCUGGUCUGAGAGGAUGAUCAGCCACACUGGGACUGAGACACGGCCCAGACUCCUACGGGAGGCAGCAGUGGGGAAUUUUGGACAAUGGGGGCAACCCUGAUCCAGCCAUUCCGCGUGAGUGAAGAAGGCCUUCGGGUUGUAAAGCUCUUUUGUCCGGAGCGAAAAGGCGAGCGUGAAUAUCGCUCGCUACUGACGGUACCGGAAGAAUAAGCACCGGCUAACUACGUGCCAGCAGCCGCGGUAAUACGUAAGGGUGCGAGCGUUAAUCGGAAUUACUGGGCGUAAAGCGUGCGCAGGCGGUUUUGUAGGCCAGAUGUGAAAUCCCCGGGCUCAACCUGGGAAUGGCAUUUGGGACUGCAAGGCUCGAGUGCGGCAGGGGAGACUGGAAUUCCUGGUGUAGCAAGUGGAAUGCGUAGAUAUCAGGAGGAAUACCCGAUGGCGAAAGCAGGUCUCUGGGCCUGACACUGACGCUUCAUGCCCCGAAAGCGUGG
RNAcentral lists this ribosomal RNA (606 nucleotides) under uncultured beta proteobacterium. Its description in RNAcentral is "bacterial SSU rRNA". It matches the Rfam family "Bacterial small subunit ribosomal RNA", at positions 171 to 764 of the family's 1533-position model. Lineage: Bacteria; Pseudomonadati; Pseudomonadota; Betaproteobacteria. The record is from RNAcentral.